Molecule: ribosomal RNA, 254 nt
Filed under: uncultured bacterium
Lineage: Bacteria
Description: partial 16S ribosomal RNA
Rfam family: Bacterial small subunit ribosomal RNA
Source: RNAcentral
UACGUAGGGGGCAAGCGUUGUCCGGAUUUAUUGGGCGUAAAGAGCUCGUAGGUGGUUCGGUAAGUCGGAUGUGAAAUCUCCAGGCUCAACCUGGAGGGGUCAUUCGAUACUGCCGUGACUAGAGUUCGGUAGGGGAGUGUGGAAUUCCUGGUGGAGCGGUGAAAUGCGCAGAUAUCAGGAGGAACACCGAUGGCGAAGGCAGGUCUCUGGGCAUUAACUGACGCUGAGGAGCGAAAGCAUGGGGAGCGAACAGG